CAUGCAAGUUGUACGAGAGUUUUUAACUCAAGUAGCGGACGGGUGAGUAACACGUAAGAAUGUACCUUUAGGAGGGGGAUAACAGCUGGAAACGGUUGCUAAUACCCCAUAUGCUUUCGAGUGAAAUGGAUUUCCGCCUAAAGAGCAGCUUGCGGCUGAUUAGCUUGUUGGUAGGGUAAUAGCCUACCAAGGCGACGAUCAGUAUCUGGUUUGAGAGGACGAUCAGACACACUGGAACUGAGACACGGUCCAGACUCCUACGGGAGGCAGCAGUAGGGAAUUUUCCGCAAUGGGCGAAAGCCUGACGGAGCAAUACCGCGUGAGGGAUGACUGCCUAUGGGUUGUAAACCUCUUUUUUCAGGGAGGAAUAAAAUGACGUGUACCUGAAGAAUAAGCAUCGGCUAACUCCGUGCCAGCAGCCGCGGUAAGACGGAGGAUGCAAGUGUUAUCCGGAAUCACUGGGCGUAAAGCGUCUGUAGGUGGUUCAAUAAGUCAACUGUUAAAUCUUGAAGCUCAACUUCGAAAUCGCAGUCGAAACUAUUGGACUAGAGUAUAGUAGAGGUAAAGGGAAUUUCCAGUGGAGCGGUGAAAUGCGUAGAGAUUGGAAAGAACACCGAUGGCGAAAGCACUUUACUGGGCUAUACUGACA
Molecule: ribosomal RNA, 649 nt
Filed under: uncultured bacterium
Lineage: Bacteria
Description: bacterial SSU rRNA
Rfam family: Bacterial small subunit ribosomal RNA
Source: RNAcentral